GGGCCCUUAGCUCAGUCGGUAGAGCAACUGACUUUUAAUCAGUAGGUCGCAGGUUCGACCCCUGCAGGGCUCACCA
This 76-nucleotide transfer RNA is filed under the name Erythrobacter sp. Its description in RNAcentral is "tRNA-Lys". It matches the Rfam family "tRNA". From Rfam's summary of the family: Transfer RNA (tRNA) molecules are approximately 80 nucleotides in length. The record is from RNAcentral. Lineage: Bacteria; Pseudomonadati; Pseudomonadota; Alphaproteobacteria; Sphingomonadales; Erythrobacteraceae. RNAcentral also lists the same sequence under 14 other names.